RNAcentral lists this ribosomal RNA (253 nucleotides) under uncultured bacterium. RNAcentral's name for it is "partial 16S ribosomal RNA". It matches the Rfam family "Bacterial small subunit ribosomal RNA", at positions 524 to 776 of the family's 1533-position model. The record is from RNAcentral.
UACGUAGGGGGCCAGCGUUGUCCGGAUUUACUGGGCGUAAAGCGCGCGUAGGCGGACGCUUAAGUGUGGCCUGAAAGCCCCCGGCUCAACCGGGGAGGGCGGCUGCAAACUGGGCGUCUUGAGGGACCGAGAGGCGUGUGGAAUUCCGGGAGUAGCGGUGAAAUGCGUAGAGAUCCGGAGGAACACCCGUGGCGAAGGCGGCACGCUGGCGGUUCCCUGACGCUGAGGCGCGAAAGCGUGGGGAGCGAACGGG